This is a long non-coding RNA of Lolium rigidum, 341 nucleotides long. RefSeq lists it as uncharacterized. The record is from RefSeq and is a predicted model, not a curated record. NCBI's taxonomy places the organism in Eukaryota, Viridiplantae, Streptophyta, Magnoliopsida, Poales, Poaceae. The transcript is spliced from 2 exons.
AUCAGCUGCACGCGGCGUUCGUCAAGGCGGCCGAACAGCUCAGGGGAACGAAAGCUCUGGAGACCGCCAAGCAGAAGGAAGGAUGGGGAGAGCAUAUCCCUCCUCAUUGCUAAUUAAUAUGUACAAGUGGUUGCUCUCAGAGCAAGGGCCAAGGGCUAGAAAGUCAAAUCAAUAAUCUCGCAGGGGUUACUUAUAUUGGUUCCCCUAGCUUUGUUUUAUUUUCAUCCUUGGAAUUGUCUCCUUCUGUAUUGUUUUGAUGUUGGCUUGCCUAGCGGUUUCAAACCUUAUAGUGCACUCUGGUCCAUGUGGGCUUGAUUUAUAAAGCUCGAAUAACAAGCCUU